This 570-nucleotide long non-coding RNA is filed under the name Cyanistes caeruleus (blue tit). RNAcentral's name for it is "lncRNA (ENSCCEG00000020615.1)". The record is from RNAcentral. Lineage: Eukaryota; Metazoa; Chordata; Aves; Passeriformes; Paridae.
AAAUCCUCCAAAUCCUCCUGUGGCAGUCUGAGAUUCCAGAUUUCCAAUGCAUUGGGAUGAUUUUCUUGUUGACAAGAUUUGAUCCUCAUUUUCCAAGUUUUUCCACAGAAAAGCAGCUGUUUCCUGCAAGGAAUUCCUGGAGGAAUGAGCUUCUUCAGUACAGGCAGCGUUCUGAAGCAAGAGACAGAAUUCAAAUGACAAGGAAUUUGAGAAGUGCCACAUUUUGCUCUGUGAAUGUUUCUGUGGAAGGAUCACAGUCCCAGGUGUUCCAUCUGUCAGUGGCAGCUGUGGCUGCAACCUCGGGAAUGCCAACCCUGGGAACGUUCAAGGUGUGGCUGUUGCACAGAGAUACAAACAGGAGAGCCUCAGAUGGUUUUGGCAGCUUUUUAUCUUCCUGUCUGAAAAUGCUCCGGCAAGGACUUGAGGAAAAGUGGGACAGCCAUGAAAAUGUUCUUUUAGGCCAAAGAAGAAUAAUACAGCUAGCACUGGAAAUGAUGCAUGGAAAUUAUGGAUGCAUUUUAACUUUCACCAGGUAAUAGGAGAACACAUGCAAAAUUAUACCAAAUGGAG